RNAcentral lists this ribosomal RNA (220 nucleotides) under Campeiostachys nutans. RNAcentral's name for it is "Elymus nutans partial small subunit ribosomal RNA". The stretch from base 31 to 220 matches the Rfam family "Eukaryotic small subunit ribosomal RNA", at positions 673 to 864 of the family's 1831-position model. Lineage: Eukaryota; Viridiplantae; Streptophyta; Magnoliopsida; Poales; Poaceae. The record is from RNAcentral.
GGAUUGGCGCAUCGGUCGUGCCUCACGGGGUAUGAACUGGUGCAGUCAAUUUCUCACCUUCUGGAGAACCGCGAUGUCCUUAAUUGGAUGCCUUGGGGAAUCAGGACUGUUACUUUGAAAAAAUUAGAGUGUUUAAAGCAGGCUCACGCUUGAAUACAUUAGCAUGGAAUAAUGAAAUAGGACGUUUGAUUCUAUUUUGUUGGUUUCUAGGAUCGACGUA